CGUGAGUGAUGAAGGCCUUCGGGCCGUAAAGCUCUGUCAAGUGGGAAGAACCUAUGCAGUGUUAAUGUCACUGUGUACUGACGGUACCACUGAAGGAAGCACCGGCUAACUCCGUGCCAGCAGCCGCGGUAAUACGGGGGGUGCAAGCGUUAUUCGGAAUCAUUGGGCGUAAAGAGCACGUAGGCGGCCUGGUAAGUCAGAUGUGAAAGCCCGGGGCUUAACCCCGGAAGUGCAUUUGAUACUGUCAGGCUUGAGUGUGGGAGAGGGAAGUGGAAUUCCUGGUGUAGAGGUGAAAUUCGUAGAUAUCAGGAGGAACACCGGUGGCGAAGGCGACUUCCUGGACCAAUACUGACGCUGAGGUGCGAAGGCGUGGGUAGCAAACAGGAUUAGAUACCCUGGUAGUCCACGCAGUAAACGUUGUUCACUAGGUGUAGCGGGUAUUGACCCCUGCUGUGCCGCAGUUAACGCAUUAA
This 473-nucleotide ribosomal RNA is filed under the name uncultured delta proteobacterium. RNAcentral's name for it is "bacterial SSU rRNA". It matches the Rfam family "Bacterial small subunit ribosomal RNA", at positions 400 to 863 of the family's 1533-position model. The record is from RNAcentral. Lineage: Bacteria; Deltaproteobacteria.